Molecule: ribosomal RNA, 465 nt
Filed under: Vreelandella stevensii
Lineage: Bacteria; Pseudomonadati; Pseudomonadota; Gammaproteobacteria; Oceanospirillales; Halomonadaceae
Description: partial 16S ribosomal RNA
Rfam family: Bacterial small subunit ribosomal RNA
Source: RNAcentral
CCUACGGGGGGCUGCAGUGGGGAAUAUUGGACAAUGGGCGAAAGCCUGAUCCAGCCAUGCCGCGUGUGUGAAGAAGGCCUUCGGGUUGUAAAGCACUUUCAGUGGGGAAGAAAGCCUUGGGGCUAAUACCCUCGAGGAAGGACAUCACCCACAGAAGAAGCACCGGCUAACUCCGUGCCAGCAGCCGCGGUAAUACGGAGGGUGCGAGCGUUAAUCGGAAUUACUGGGCGUAAAGCGCGCGUAGGCGGUCUGAUAAGCCGGUUGUGAAAGCCCCGGGCUCAACCUGGGAACGGCAUCCGGAACUGGCAGGCUAGAGUGCAGGAGAGGAAGGUAGAAUUCCCGGUGGAGCGGUGAAAUGCGUAGAGAUCGGGAGGAAUACCAGUGGCGAAGGCGGCCUUCUGGACUGACACUGACGCUGAGGUGCGAAAGCGUGGGUAGCAAACAGGAUUAGAUACCCGAGUAGUC